RNAcentral lists this ribosomal RNA (1300 nucleotides) under Salmonella enterica. RNAcentral describes it as "partial 23S ribosomal RNA". It matches the Rfam family "Bacterial large subunit ribosomal RNA", at positions 711 to 1907 of the family's 2925-position model. The record is from RNAcentral. Lineage: Bacteria; Pseudomonadati; Pseudomonadota; Gammaproteobacteria; Enterobacterales; Enterobacteriaceae.
AGACCCGAAACCCGGUGAUCUAGCCAUGGGCAGGUUGAAGGUUGGGUAACACUAACUGGAGGACCGAACCGACUAAUGUUGAAAAAUUAGCGGAUGACCUGUGGCUGGGGGUGAAAGGCCAAUCAAACCGGGAGAUAGCUGGUUCUCCCCGAAAGCUAUUUAGGUAGCGCCUCGUGAAUUCAUCUCCGGGGGUAGAGCACUGUUUCGGCUAGGGGGCCAUCCCGGCUUACCAACCCGAUGCAAACUGCGAAUACCGGAGAAUGUUAUCACGGGAGACACACGGCGGGUGCUAACGUCCGUCGUGAAGAGGGAAACAACCCAGACCGCCAGCUAAGGUCCCAAAGUCAUGGUUAAGUGGGAAACGAUGUGGGAAGGCCCAGACAGCCAGGAUGUUGGCUUAGAAGCAGCCAUCAUUUAAAGAAAGCGUAAUAGCUCACUGGUCGAGUCGGCCUGCGCGGAAGAUGUAACGGGGCUAAACCAUGCACCGAAGCUGCGGCAGCGAACGUAUCACCCAAGACAACUUUACGGAGUUGACGAUUGACGGAGCGAAGCGACGUCAAAGCGUUCAUUAAAGUCGAGUUGGCUUAGGGAUACGUUCGUUGGGUAGGGGAGCGUUCUGUAAGCCUGUGAAGGUGUGUCGUGAGGCAUGCUGGAGGUAUCAGAAGUGCGAAUGCUGACAUAAGUAACGAUAAAGCGGGUGAAAAGCCCGCUCGCCGGAAGACCAAGGGUUCCUGUCCAACGUUAAUCGGGGCAGGGUGAGUCGACCCCUAAGGCGAGGCCGAAAGGCGUAGUCGAUGGGAAACGGGUUAAUAUUCCCGUACUUGGUGUUACUGCGAAGGGGGGACGGAGAAGGCUAUGUUGGCCGGGCGACGGUUGUCCCGGUUUAAGCGUGUAGGUGUGUGUUCCAGGUAAAUCCGGUUCACUUUAACACUGAGGCGUGAUGACGAGGCACUACGGUGCUGAAGCAACAAAUGCCCUGCUUCCAGGAAAAGCCUCUAAGCAUCAGGUAACAUCAAAUCGUACCCCAAACCGACACAGGUGGUCAGGUAGAGAAUACCAAGGCGCUUGAGAGAACUCGGGUGAAGGAACUAGGCAAAAUGGUGCCGUAACUUCGGGAGAAGGCACGCUGACACGUAGGUGAAGUGAUUUACUCACGGAGCUGAAGUCAGUCGAAGAUACCAGCUGGCUGCAACUGUUUAUUAAAAACACAGCACUGUGCAAACACGAAAGUGGACGUAUACGGUGUGACGCCUGCCCGGUGCCGGAAGGUUAAUUGAUGGGGUCAGCGCAAGCGAAGCUC